GACAGAGGUGCCGAGCGUUAGGCGGAAUCACUGGGCCUAAAGCGUGUGUAGGCGGGCGAUCAAGUACCUUGUGAAAUCCCACGGCUCAACCGUGGAACCGCUGGGUAUACUGGUUGUCUUGAGCCGGCUAGGGGCGAGCGGAACAGACGGUGGAGCGGUGAAAUGCGUAGAUAUCGUCUGGAACGCCGAAGGUGAAAACAGCUCGCUGGGGCCGCGCUGACGCUGAGACACGAAAGCCAGGGGAGCGAACGGG
Molecule: ribosomal RNA, 253 nt
Filed under: uncultured bacterium
Lineage: Bacteria
Description: partial 16S ribosomal RNA
Rfam family: Bacterial small subunit ribosomal RNA
Source: RNAcentral